RNAcentral lists this ribosomal RNA (262 nucleotides) under uncultured bacterium. RNAcentral describes it as "partial 16S ribosomal RNA". It matches the Rfam family "Bacterial small subunit ribosomal RNA", at positions 793 to 1055 of the family's 1533-position model. The record is from RNAcentral.
GUCCACGCCCUAAACGAUGGCAACUGGGUGUUGGGGAGCGAUUCCUCAGUACCGUAGCUAACGCGUGAAGUUGCCCGCCUGGGGAGUACGGCCGCAAGGUUAAACUCAAAGGAAUUGACGGGACCCGCACAAGCGGUGGAUGAUGUGGAUUAAUUCGAUGCAACGCGAACAACCUUACCUACCCUUGACAUGUCCGGAACCCUGCUGAGAGGUGGGGGUGCCCCGAAAGGGAAUCGGAACACAGGUGCUGCAUGGCUGUCGU